Molecule: ribosomal RNA, 480 nt
Filed under: uncultured bacterium
Lineage: Bacteria
Description: partial 16S ribosomal RNA
Rfam family: Bacterial small subunit ribosomal RNA
Source: RNAcentral
GACGAACGCUGGCGGCGUGCUUAACACAUGCAAGUCGAGCGGAAAGGCCCUUUCGGGGGUACUCGAGCGGCGAACGGGUGAGUAACACGUGAGUAAUCUGCCCCUGGCUUUGGGAUAGCCACCGGAAACGGUGAUUAAUACCGGAUACGACCACUUCUCGCAUGGGUUGGUGGUGGAAAGUUUUUCGGCCAGGGAUGUGCUCGCGGCCUAUCAGCUUGAUGGUGAGGUAAUGGCUCACCAUGGCUUCGACGGGUAGCCGGCCUGAGAGGGUGACCGGGCACACUGGGACUGAGAAGCGGACUAGACUCCUACGGGAGGCAGCAGUGGGGAAUAUUGGACAAUGGGCGGAAGCCUGAUCCAGCAACGCCGCGUGAGGGAUGACGGCCUUCGGGUUGUAAACCUCUUUCAGCAGGGACGAAGCGCAAGUGACGGUACCUGCAGAAGAAGCACCGGCCAACUACGUGCCAGCCGCCGCCGUAA